GACGAACGCUGGCGGCGUGCUUAACACAUGCAAGUCGAACGGAAAGGCCCUGCUUUUGUGGGGUGCUCGAGUGGCGAACGGGUGAGUAACACGUGAGUAACCUGCCCUUGACUUUGGGAUAACUUCAGGAAACUGGGGCUAAUACCGGAUAGGAGCUCCUGCUGCAUGGUGGGGGUUGGAAAGUUUCGGCGGUUGGGGAUGGACUCGCGGCUUAUCAGCUUGUUGGUGGGGUAGUGGCUUACCAAGGCUUUGACGGGUAGCCGGCCUGAGAGGGUGACCGGCCACAUUGGGACUGAGAUACGGCCCAGAAUCCUACGGGGGGCAGCAGUGGGGAAUAUUGCACAAUGGGCGGGAGCGUGAUGCAGCAACGCCGCGUGCGGGAUGACGGCCUUCGGGUUGUAAACCGCUUUCGCCUGUGACGAAGCGUGAGUGACGGUAAUGGGUAAAGAAGCACCGGCUAACUACGUG
This 468-nucleotide ribosomal RNA is filed under the name uncultured bacterium. Its description in RNAcentral is "partial 16S ribosomal RNA". It matches the Rfam family "Bacterial small subunit ribosomal RNA", at positions 28 to 507 of the family's 1533-position model. The record is from RNAcentral.